UACGUAGGGUGCGAGCGUUAAUCGGAAUUACUGGGCGUAAAGCGUGCGCAGGCGGUUUUGCAAGCCGGAUGUGAAAUCCCCGGGCUUAACCUGGGAAUGGCAUUUGGGACUGCAAGGCUGGAGUGCGGCAGAGGAGACUGGAAUUCCUGGUGUAGCAGUGAAAUGCGUAGAUAUCAGGGAGGAACAGCCGAGUGGCGAAGGCAGCUGCACUGGGACGGUACUGACGCUGAGAACGCGGAAAGCGUAGGGGAGGCGAACAGG
This 261-nucleotide ribosomal RNA is filed under the name uncultured bacterium. RNAcentral's name for it is "partial 16S ribosomal RNA". It matches the Rfam family "Bacterial small subunit ribosomal RNA", at positions 524 to 776 of the family's 1533-position model. The record is from RNAcentral.